GAUGAACGCUGGCGGCGUGCCUAAUACAUGCAAGUCGAGCGAACGGACGAGAAGCUUGCUUCUCUGAUGUUAGCGGCGGACGGGUGAGUAACACGUGGAUAACCUACCUAUAAGACUGGGAUAACUUCGGGAAACCGGAGCUAAUACUGGAUAAUAUUUUGAACCGCAUGGUUCAAAAGUAAAAGACGGUCUUGCUGUCACUUAUAGAUGGAUCCGCGCUGCAUUAGCUAGUUGGUAAGGUAACGGCUUACCAAGGCAACGAUGCAUAGCCGACCUGAGAGGGUGAUCGGCCACACUGGAACUGAGACACGGUCCAGACUCCUACGGGAGGCAGCAGUAGGGAAUCUUCCGCAAUGGGCGAAAGCCUGACGGAGCAACGCCGCGUGAGUGAUGAAGGUCUUCGGAUCGUAAAACUCUGUUAUUAGGGAAGAACAUAUGUGUAGGUAACUGUGCACAUCUUGACGGUACCUAAUCAGAAAGCCACGGCUAACUACGUG
RNAcentral lists this ribosomal RNA (497 nucleotides) under uncultured bacterium. Its description in RNAcentral is "partial 16S ribosomal RNA". It matches the Rfam family "Bacterial small subunit ribosomal RNA", at positions 28 to 507 of the family's 1533-position model. The record is from RNAcentral.